GGGUAGUAUAACUUGGAAGACACAUAAUAAUAACAAUAAUGAUCAUUUUACUGCCAGAUUCUGUGCUAAACGCAUGGAUACUCAGUCUUUCUUACUCUCUACUAAUCCCUCUCCUAUUCUUCCAGGGAAAUCAUUUUUACUCGCUGAAGAAGCUGGGACACUCAUUCUGCGGAAUUUCCUCCACUCCAGAUGUUGUGGAUUAUAUAAUCCUCAUAACAAUCACCGCAUUAAUCUCAUGAGAUUGUUGAGCAGAAGCCAGGGACAGCUGUCUUCCUCUGAUGCCCUAUGGUGAUGCCCACAGGAUCUUUCGCCUUUCGGGGUUGAACCCACUAAAAGGUGUGAGAGGAUGAAAGGAUGUGUAUCAUUUAGCAGCCCUGAUAGCUAGGAUUUGACUAAAGGAUCCUAUGCACAGAAACCCAAGAAUCGUAGAAAGGCAAUCAUUUUCCUUCAGGUGUGUUUUUCUCAGCAACAUCAACUUAUCUGGCUUUCUCUAUGUAAAUGUACUGAAAUAAAAUAUCUGUAUGCAGUCUGUAUGUUAAAUGUGUAUAUGUAUAAACGUACCACAGUUGGUUUGUAUAUAUCCUUCUGGGAGACAGAACUUGAAUCUCAGGCAUGAUAGUUUAAAUGUAGCCAUUUGCUUGAUAUGUACAAAUGGUGCAGGGAAGAAGUGAACCAUCUCUGAGGAACGGUUAGGUCUUUACAAGGAAAGGAGAAAGAAAUCUGUUAGGAAAGUGAGGUCCCCAAAAACUG
RNAcentral lists this long non-coding RNA (750 nucleotides) under Fukomys damarensis (Damara mole-rat). RNAcentral describes it as "lncRNA (ENSFDAG00000028719.1)". Lineage: Eukaryota; Metazoa; Chordata; Mammalia; Rodentia; Bathyergidae. The record is from RNAcentral.